AAAGCAGGGAUUGUGUGUAUUGACAUUGUGCUAAUUUGUCAUUGCACUUUGCUCGAAAGAGUUCUCUGCAAUAUAUAUAUAUUUUUUUUUUGGGAAGAUGGGCAGUUGUUAUUUCAUUAUCUUGUUGAAAACCUUCAACAAUCAUCUUUCCAACAUUU
Coffea arabica (coffee) is the source of this 158-nucleotide small nucleolar RNA. RefSeq annotates it as small nucleolar RNA snoR135. Lineage: Eukaryota; Viridiplantae; Streptophyta; Magnoliopsida; Gentianales; Rubiaceae. The record is from RefSeq and is a predicted model, not a curated record.